RNAcentral lists this ribosomal RNA (474 nucleotides) under Nosema sp. Its description in RNAcentral is "SSU rRNA". It matches the Rfam family "Microsporidia small subunit ribosomal RNA", at positions 34 to 506 of the family's 1311-position model. The record is from RNAcentral. Lineage: Eukaryota; Fungi; Microsporidia; Nosematidae.
CUCCUAAGAUUCACCCCUGCAUGUUUUUGACAUUUGAAAAAUGGACUGCUCAGUAAUACUCACUUUAUUUUAWGUAAAUUUUUAAUUAACUACGUUAAAGUGUAGAUAAGAUGUUUACAGUAAGAGUGAGACCUAUCARCUAGUUGUUAAGGUAAUGGCUUAACAAGGCUGUGACGGGUAACGGUAUUACUUUGUAAUAUUCCGGAGAAGGAGCCUGAGAGACGGCUACUAAGUCUAAGGAUUGCAGCAGGGGCGAAACUUGACCUAUGGAUUUUAUYUGAGGCAGUUAUGGGAAGUAAUAUUAUAUUGUUUCAUAUUUUAAAAGUAUAUGAGGUGAUUAAUUGGAGGGCAAAUCAAGUGCCAGCAGCCGCGGUAAUACUUGUUCCAAGAGUGUGUAUGAUGAUUGAUGCAGUUAAAAAGUCCGUAGUUUAUUUUUUUAAAAAGCAAUAUGAGGUGUACUGUUAUUUUAGUGGG